Non-coding RNA from Podarcis lilfordi (Lilford's wall lizard), 85 nucleotides. The record is from the annotation of a GenBank genome assembly. NCBI's taxonomy places the organism in Eukaryota, Metazoa, Chordata, Lepidosauria, Squamata, Lacertidae.
GCCACCAGUGGCACCGUGGGCUAGUGCAUCUGACUGUUAACCAGAAGGUUGGUGGUUCAAGCCCAACCAGGGAUGGCCGUGGGCA